UUAAAUUUAGAACAGUAUCACUAUUGUAGAGCUAACAUUAAGUUAAAAGCACUUGAAUUUAGAUUAGUUAUGAUACAAAAGCACUUCUUAUGAGUAAAACAAUGCAUAAUAUGAGUAUUUCCAGCUAACUUCAAGACAUUUUUUAUCCUAAAAUGCUUAAAUAAUCACUUUUUAAUCUUAUUUCAAGUUGGUGGUGGUCUAAAAUCUAGGACAAUGUCACUAUUUUAGAACUUUAAAUGAGUUAAAUACACUUGAAAUAAGAGGGAUGCCAUGAACAGUGAAAAAAUAAAAAGCUACUUUUGAGCAUUUCAAGCUUAUUAUGAUACACAACACUUUCUAAUACUAGUAAAAUAUAGCUCAAAAUAAGUUUACCUGGCUAAUUUCAAGAUCAAUUCCUAUCUCAAAAGUCCUAAAUAUUACAUCUUAUUUCAAGAAAUCUUGACAAGCCGAUUUUCACUAGUUCCAUUGGCAGAUUUUUUUGCUUAUUUCAAGCAAAAACGUCUCGUAUUUGUUGUUUUUUUACUUAUUUUUGGAGGGGCAUUUUUUCCAGUGCACCACUGCGGUCUGCCACUCUUUUGCCACUGUCCCAGACUUCCACGCAAUGUUGCUUUUAGCAUCUCUGGACAGAUCUCAUCAAUCCCCGGGGCUUUGCCCCGGAGGUCACUGACUACCUCAGUGACCUCCACCAGGCAAAUUCACGAUGAUCCCUCCUCCGCCUCCAUCUCCGCCUCUACCAAAGAGGGCGUAGUAGUUGGAUUCAGGAGUUUCUUAAAGUGUUCCUUCCACCGCCCGAUAACCUCCUCAGUCGCGGUCAACAGGGUCCCAUCCUUACUCUACACUGCUUGGAUGGUUCCCCGUUUCCACCUCCUGAUGGUCUUCCAGAAGCACUUUGGUGCCGACCGAAAGUCCUUCUCCAUAGUUACCCCAAACUUCUCCCAUCUUCGGUGCUUUGCCACCAUCACGGCAGAGGCUGCUGCCCUUCGAGCCUGUCGGUAAACUGCAACUGCCUCCAGAGUCCCACCGGAUAUCAUAACCCAGAAGGCCUCCUUCUACAAGUCGGACGGCUUCCCUGACCACUGGGGUCCACCACGGGGUUCGAGGGGUUACCGCCCCUUGACGCACCUAAGACCUCGAGGCCACAACUCACUUCCGUGGCUUCAGUAAUGGAAGUUUUGAACAUACACCACUCUGGUUCAAUGUCACCUACCUCCACAGGAAUGUGAGAGAAAUGCCCCCGGAGGUGUGAGUUGAAAAUCUUUUGGAUCGGGGCCUCCUCCAGACGUUCCCAGUUCACCCUCACUACACGCUUGGGUUCACCAGGUCUGUCCCGAGUCUUUCCCCAUCCCCUGACCCAGCUCACCACCAGAUGGUGAUCAGUUGACAGCUCUGCCCCUCUUUACCCGAGUGUCCAGAACAUGCAGCCUCAGAUCAGACGAUACGAUUACAAAAUCAAUCAUUGAUCUUUGGCCUAGGGUGUUCUGGUACCACGUACACUUAUGAACAUCCUUAUGUCCGAACAUGGUGUUUGUUAUGGACAAUCUGUGACUGGCAAACAGACAACCGCUCGAGUUCAGACACUGCAUGAAAAGUGGGAUUUUCGGCAGUAUGCGGCACUGUAAAUUGUCAUGGAAUUUCAGGUUUGCGGCAAUUUGCGGGCAACGCCGAAAACUGCCGUAAAUUGUCAGAAAUUGAUGUGGGCCUCCCUUGGCAGUUGUCCCCCCAUGCCCCCCCCUCCUCCUAAUUCUAGGGGAGGCUUUGACAUGUAAAUGAAAAUGCUGUGAGCUAUACAAAUGCCAAUCAGGGUCGCAGAGGGAGUUUUAGCCCAGGUGACUUUUUUAAAAGGUAAGAAAAUCUCUGGUACAAAUAGAUCAGGCUCAGUAGCCUAAUUAUAGACUCUUACAUUUUAGCUUGAAUUGAUUUAUUUAAUUCAAAUAUGCUAGAUUACUGUGUACGCCAUUAGCAAUGGCAAAUGUUAUGUAAAAAAGAUACACAAAAUAACUUCUUUAAAAAAUUAGUUUUAAUCAAGGUAAAAUGAGCAUUCCAUGCAAACAACAUUUGAAUCAGCAUGAGGGGUCUGCAGAGAUCACAGUCUCCUAGAGCUCAACUACAGUGCAUAGUGGCAGGACUACAGUGACCUUUUCUUUGGUCCUACUUAAAUGCACAGAGGAUGUAUUAACCACACAUCUUCUAGCAAUGCGCUCAACUGGCAGAAAUGAUGCUGGGUAUGACGUGUCUGUUCCCUGCAAGCCCCAAACUUCUAUUGGCUUUCCAUAAAAAUGUCUGUCCGGGUGGAGAUGAAGCCAGGAAACUUGUGCAAGAACAUGUUUAAAUGCCGUACCCUUUGACACAACAUUAACAACUAUAAACUGCUUUAUAAUGGCUGGUCGCAGUUCUGCUAGAGGGUCAAGGAUGGGUUCCUCUAAACUGUUAGUGUUUCCACACCACUUAGCAUAAACACAUGCUGACCUUUAUGCUCUGCAUCUAUCGAUUGAGUAAGUUACAUUCAUAUAUGUUACCUGUUUACAUGUCAUGGCAAAACAUUCAACCUCAGUGACACAAGGGUACAUCUGAUGAUACAUUGUCAACAUUGCAUGUCUGUCAGACUCAAGAGUGUCUGGUGGAAUGGAGAAAGAGGCACCACUGUAGUUUUCUAGGGAAAGUCGUUCUGCUGACACCAAAACACUGCUUUACAUAAAGCAUAUCAGCUGUUUCAAAGUCCCAACCAUUUGUCUUCCUAAAAUACUGGUCCUUCCGUAUAACAAUAACCUCGUAUGUGAUUGGAGGACCCUUAGACUCCUCGUCCAAUCACGUGUGAGGUCAUAGGCAUGACUCAGACAGCAGUACUUGCAAGAUGAGCAUAUAUUCAGAAGAACUGUAUCUCCAGUUCCUUUGUUUGGUUUUUGCUGCUUCGUGAAUAAUGGCUGGACGACAUCUCGCGUUCAACUCGCCUUCAACUCCUCUCCGCGGUCACCAACUUUCGGCCAGUCCGCAGACAGACGAGAAGAAGCUGCUGAAUGCUCUCAGUGGAUAGUCUCGUCAACUCCAACAACAAACUGCCGAUAUCAACGAGCGGUUCGCUCCACUGGAGCGUUCGGGACUCUCAGGUUUCUGUCCAUGAAGGAGAGGAACUGACUCAAAGAAGAGGAGACGUGCGCACAAUCCGACGAUAGCGGAAGCGGUGCGGCGUCUUCACAACUCCGAGACGAAUUACAGGGGUUACGAACCGGAGCAAGGACUAAUCUCGCCUCAUGAGGCGGUGACCUCAUAUUUGCUCCGGUGUUAUGUUCUGACUCCCCAGGAGGGGAGUGGGAUUCACGCCACUGCCCGAGGACGUCCUGUGACCAGUAAACGGGUAUGGCGUCGUAGGUGCAAGAAAACAAACAUCACCUGAAGUUGGGCCACCUGUGAGACGUAUUUUGAGACGGGACGCAGGAGCUUCAGGUUCAGGCGGAACACUCAUUGCGGGCGGAAGCUGCGAAGGAUUCAGCGCGGAGUCGAGCGAGAAGAAAGAGGCUGCUGGAAUCGAGACAAAGUGUGCUGGCUGAUGACGAGGUGGAACUCUGGAAAUCCGCCACCGUAGAGCUCACGUCGGACGGAGGGGACGGCGUUGUUGGCGGGGUCUUGGGGUGGAUUGUACGGUCGCCACACACACACACGAGCCGCCUGCACAACAGACCUGCCUCGGAAAACACGGCGCCAGUGACGGUCUACAACCCCGAGGAGGCAAACGGACAGUUUACUGAGCUGUAGUUUUUAAACCGCCGUUACCCAAUUGUGGGCAGAUCCUCACUUUGUAUGUAGUUGUUGUUGUUUGUGUGUUGUUAAUAAAGCUCUUUCUUUGCAUAAACAUGUGGCAAAUGUUCAUUUUCUCUAUAAAUUCAUUGAUGUCCUGGUUGGUAUCCUAAUAAUAGUGUAGUAACCUACAUAGGAUAACCAUGAAAUGAAUAUACAGCUUAAUAUGAUUAUAUAAAUAAAAUGAGGCGGGUGACCAAUAGCGACAGAUCUGCCAACCAAUCACGAGUGAUUGAAAGUUGUGGUUUCAUCCAAUCAUGAACAAGGAAACUCAAGCCUGGUCAGCCCAUGUGUGGUUUUGCUGCCAAUCACGAGUGAUUUUAUUUGUUAGUAAGUUGUGGUUUCAUCCAAUAAGGAGUAAGGAUAUUCAAGCCUGCUCGGCUCGGCCACCCGCGGUUUUGCUGCAUUCAUAUGCUAAUUUGGGCCAUUCGCACCUCCGCCAGCUCUCCACCUACGUCAUGGUUCGUUUCCGACAAUUUGUGGCACAGACAAACGCAACGUGCGCGGGUUGCAAAUUGUCGGAAAUUAGGGAGAUUUCCGGGCGUUUACGGGGACGAAAAUCUCACUUUUCAUGCAGUGAGAUCAGGGAGAUUAUUCCUCCCAAUCACGCCUCUCCAGUUAUCUCCAUCGUCGCCCACGUGAGCAUUGAAGUCUCCCAGUAGGACUAUGGAGUCCUCUACUGGAGCCCUAUGCAGGACUCCAUUCAGGGUCUCCAAAAUGGCCGAAUACUCUGAGCUGCUGUUUGGUGCAUAUGCACAGGCAACAGUCAGAGUUUCCAACCCAUCACCCGAAGGCGUAGGGAGGCGACCCUUUUGUCCACCGUAAACUCCAGUGUAUCAGCACUCCGGGGACGCCGGGGACCUAUGAGUAUCCCCACACCCGCCUGGCGCCUCACACCAUGGGCUACUCCGGAGUAGAAUAGAGCCCAUCCCCUAUCCAGGAAUUUGGUGCCAGAGCUGAGGCGGUGCGUAGAGGUAAGCCCCACCAGAUCCAACUGAUAACGCUCCACCUCCUGCACAAGCUCCGGCUCCUUCCCCCCCAGAG
Gasterosteus aculeatus aculeatus (three-spined stickleback) is the source of this 4836-nucleotide long non-coding RNA. Lineage: Eukaryota; Metazoa; Chordata; Actinopteri; Perciformes; Gasterosteidae. The record is from Ensembl.